AUGGCCGAAUCACUGCUUCUCCCUGUGGUGGAAGGUCUGGCCGGCAAGGCAGCAGACGUGCUCAUCCAGACCGUGACCCGCAUGUGUGGCCUCGACGACGACCGCGAAACGCUGGAGCGCCAUCUGCGAGCCGUCCGGUGCAAGCUGGCCAACGCGGAGGAAAGGAGCCAGACAAAUGGUGGUGACUACAUCAAGAGCUGGAUGGAGAAGCUCAAGGCCGUCGCCUACGAGGCCGACGACGUCCUCGACGACUUUCAGUACGAGGGGCUGCGCCGUGAAGCCCGGAUCGGCAAGUCCACUUCCCGCAAGGUACUCGGCUAUGUCAAAUACCACAGCCCGUUGCUCUUCCGUUUCGCCAUGAGCAGGAAGCUCAAGGGUGUCCUUGAUAAGAUCAGGGAGCUAGUUGAGGAGAUGAAUAUGUUUGGUCUUGAGAAUUCUGUCCAUCGUCAGGAGCCACAACUUCCUUGGCGGCAGACUCACUCCAAACUGGAUGAGUCUACCGACAUCUUUGGAAGAGAUGAUGACAAGGAGAGGGUGGUUAAGCUGCUGCUAGAGCAGCAACAUCAGCAGAAGGUUCAGGUGCUGCCCAUCUUUGGUAUGGGAGGUCUUGGCAAGACAACACUUGCUAAGAUGGUGUACAACGACCAAAAGGUCCAGCAGCAUUUCCAGUUGAAGAUGUGGCACUGCGUGUCAGACAAUUUUGAUGUUUCUGCUAUUUUGAAAUCCAUCAUUAAAUUGGCUAAUGGAACUUGUGACCAGGCUGACAGCAUCCAAAUAUUGCAAAAGAAACUUGAUGAAGUCAUUGGCCGCAAAAGGUUUUUUCUUGUUCUCGAUGAUGUAUGGAAUGAAGAGAAGAGGAUGUGGGAAGAUGAAUUGAAGCCACUAUUGUGUUCUGUUGGUGGACAAGGAAGCGUUAUUGUGGUCACAUGUCGAAGCAAGCAAGUGGCCACUAUAAUGGCCACUCUUAAGCCCCAUGAGCUAGCAUUUCUUGGUGAAGAAGAUUCAUGGGAAUUAUUUUCAAACAAAGCAUUUAGCAGUGGUGUAGAGGAGCAAGCAGAGUUAGUCACCAUAGGAAGACGUAUUGUCAAUAAAUGCGGGGGGUUGCCUCUUGCUCUGAAGACAAUGGGUGGAUUGCUAAGUUCGAAGCAACAUGUAGAGGAAUGGAAGACCGUCGAAGGAAGUAACAUUGGGGAUAAUGUUGGGGGCAGGCAUGAGGUCAUGCCCAUACUAAAGUUAAGCUACAACCACUUGUCAUCUGAAAUGAAGCAAUGUUUUGCAUUCUGUGCAGUUUUUCCCAAGGAUUAUGAGAUGCAAAAGGAUAUGUUGAUCCAACUAUGGAUGGCAAAUGGGUUUAUUAAAGAAGAGGCGACAAUGGAUUUAACACAGAAAGGAGAAUGCAUUUUCCAUGAAUUGGUUUGGAGGUCCUUCCUGCAAGAUUUGAAAGUUGUAGACAGUUUUUUCCCAGGAUAUGAGAAAGUAGUAUGUAAAAUGCAUGACUUAAUGCAUGACUUAGCCAGAAAUGUUAGCAAUGAUUGUGCCACCAUAGAAGAAUUGAUUGAACAGAAAGCAUUCUUAAAAAGUGUCUGCCACCUGCAAAUGUCAAUGGAUAAUUCAAAAGAGACCUAUGAUGUUCUAAAUGGCAACACAUCUCCCCGCACUUUGUUAGCUCCUUCAUUGAUGUACCAGGACUUUAAACGGCUGUCACAUGCAUCAUUGCGAGCAUUGCAUCGGCGGGGUUUGUUUCACACCAGUUUCAGUUUCGUAAAUGCAAAACAUUUACGGUAUCUUGACCUCUCCAAUUGUGACGUCAAUGCUAGAUUGCUGGAUUCAGUAUGCCUAUUGUAUAACCUGCAAACGUUGAGGCUGAAUAAUUGCAAUGGACUGAGGCAGUUACCAGAAGAUAUGAUGAUGAGCCUGAGGAAGCUCAUACAUCUUUUUCUUUUUGGAUGUCAGUUGCGGCGGAUGCCUCGAAAGAUUGGUCAGCUGGUCAACCUUCGAACACUAACAACAUUUAUUGUGGAUACUAGAGAUGGUUGUGGCAUUGAGGAGCUCAAAGACUUGCGACACCUUAGCAACAGGUUGGAACUUUACAACUUGAGAAAAAUAAAAAGUGCCGAGCAUGCAAAAGAAGCCAAUCUCCAGCAAAAGCAAAAUCUGACUGAGUUGUUGUUCUGUUGGGGCCUUAAUAAAUAUGGCAUGCCCGAAAAUGAGACAUAUAGUGAGGAUGAAGUGUUACAUCAUCUAGAACCUCAUAGCAAGAUCCAAAUUUUGGAGUUACAUGGAUGUGGUGGCUUAGAAAUGCCACAAUGGAUGAGAGAUCCUCAAAUGCUUCAGUGUUUAAGAAAACUCACAAUUACCAAAUGGACAAGGUGUAAGAAUAUACCUGUAGUAUGGCUGUCAACUUCACUGGAGUUCUUACAUUUGGGCAGAAUGGAUGAACUCAAGACAUUAUGUGGUAACCUUUGCAUAGAAGGUGGAGGACGCAGUACCCCUCUACAAAUUUUCCCGAAGUUGAAGGACAUGGUCUUGAGAGAGCUAUCUAGUCUAGAGGGAUGGGCAGAUAACAGUGUGGGUGUGUCUAUUGAUAGCUCAGUAAUUUUCCCGGUGCUUGAGAAGCUAGAAAUCUGCCACUGCCCUAAGGUUACAAGUUUACCACAGAGCCCCGUUCUCAAAGACCUGGAUUUAGCAGGAUGUUACUUGGAAGUGGAGUGUGUAUGGGAUAUUCCAAGGUUGCCUACAUCCCUUGAAAAUUUGUGGAUUCAAGACUUCGAAGGUUUGGUGGCGCUGCCUUCAAACCUUGGAGAUCUGGCAAAGCUGAGCUACCUGGUGGUUUAUAGCUGCAUGGCCCUGAAAGGGUUGCCUGAUGGGAUGGAUGGCCUCACUUCUCUUCGGAAAUUGGAGAUCAUUGAUUGUCCAGCGAUAGAGGAAUUCCCGAAUGGUCUCCUUCAGCGGUUGCCAGCCCUUGACUCCUUAACCAUAUUUGGCUGCCCCGAGUUGGAAAGACGAUGCAGAGAAGGCGGGGAGUGUUUCCAGCACUUGUCUCCUAUACCAUGUAAAAGAGGAUUCAGAACUGGAGCUCCAGAAGUAGAAGCAGAAUCCACAAUUAUAGCACCAGAAGCAGAAACCAGCGGAAAGAAGUUUCUAAGAAGGCUCCUCCCCUCCUGUGCUCACUCGAAGUCUGGUGCCACAUUCUGUACACAUUUUUUGGACAAGUAUGUGCCUUUUUCUGGACAAGUAUAUCUCAUUGCUUACUGCUCUGUGCCGAAAUAG
RNAcentral lists this ribosomal RNA (3270 nucleotides) under Triticum aestivum (bread wheat). Its description in RNAcentral is "partial small subunit ribosomal RNA". The record is from RNAcentral. Lineage: Eukaryota; Viridiplantae; Streptophyta; Magnoliopsida; Poales; Poaceae.